UGUUGUAGAUAUUCUACCAAAAAACUUGGAGCUGAACAGCAUGGUUACAAUCCAAGUGUGUACAUGCAAGCAAGGAUGAAAUAUUGAGCAACACAUUGUUGGACUAGUCCUUAAUCGUCCAGAUUUGACAAUGGUUGUUUGAUUGGAAGAGAAGAUUGACAACUCAAGAAAGACCGAAGUCCACUGGGUUAAAUGGAAGGCCUCGUUUUGUGCAGGUGCACACUGCAACUGCAAGCUGUCCGCAUGGUAGUAAUUCUACUAACUUGGCUUUUUGUCCCACAUGGGAGAGAUAUGAAAUAGUAGUGUAAUAUGGAAGAUAUAAAACACCCAAGCGCUCAGUAAACAAAUCACGCAGCCACGCGGUGAGCACAAAGCGAACUAUUCUUUCGCCUUUUACUAAAGAAUACCGUGUGCGCGCCGCAAAUAGUGGCAUACGCCAAUUUUUGGAGGGGUUUCCUCAAUAGAAGCCCCUAAAA
Long non-coding RNA from Alnus glutinosa, 476 nucleotides. RefSeq lists it as uncharacterized. The record is from RefSeq and is a predicted model, not a curated record. Lineage: Eukaryota; Viridiplantae; Streptophyta; Magnoliopsida; Fagales; Betulaceae. The transcript is spliced from 2 exons.